CCUACGGGAGGCAGCAGUGAGGAAUAUUGGUCAAUGGAGGCAACUCUGAACCAGCCAUGCCGCGUGCAGGAUGACGGUCCUAUGGAUUGUAAACUGCUUUUGUACAGGAAGAAAGAGCUACGUGUAGCUUAUUGACGGUACUGUAAGAAUAAGGAUCGGCUAACUCCGUGCCAGCAGCCGCGGUAAU
Molecule: ribosomal RNA, 187 nt
Filed under: uncultured Myroides sp.
Lineage: Bacteria; Pseudomonadati; Bacteroidota; Flavobacteriia; Flavobacteriales; Flavobacteriaceae
Description: partial 16S ribosomal RNA
Rfam family: Bacterial small subunit ribosomal RNA
Source: RNAcentral